UGAGGAAUAUUGGUCAAUGGGCGUAAGCCUGAACCAGCCAAGUAGCGUGAAGGAUGAAGGCUCUAUGGGUCGUAAACUUCUUUUAUAAGGGAAUAAAGUGGAGAACGUGUUCUCCUUUGUAUGUACCUUACGAAUAAGGAUCGGCUAACUCCGUGCCAGCAGCCGCGGUAAUACGGAUGAUCCGAGCGUUAUCCGGAUUUAUUGGGUUUAAAGGGAGCGUAGGUGGAUAGUUAAGUCAGUUGUGAAAGUUUGCGGCUCAACCGUAAAAUUGCAGUUGAUACUGGCUAUCUUGAGUACAGUAGAGGUGGGCGGAAUUCGUGGUGUAGCGGUGAAAUGCUUAGAUAUCACGAAGAACUCCAAUUGCGAAGGCAGCUCACUAGACUGGUCACUGACACUGAGGCUCGAAAGUGUGGGUAUCAAACA
This 423-nucleotide ribosomal RNA is filed under the name uncultured Bacteroides sp. Its description in RNAcentral is "partial 16S ribosomal RNA". It matches the Rfam family "Bacterial small subunit ribosomal RNA", at positions 355 to 774 of the family's 1533-position model. Lineage: Bacteria; Pseudomonadati; Bacteroidota; Bacteroidia; Bacteroidales; Bacteroidaceae. The record is from RNAcentral.